Long non-coding RNA from Stegodyphus dumicola, 335 nucleotides. The record is from RefSeq and is a predicted model, not a curated record. NCBI's taxonomy places the organism in Eukaryota, Metazoa, Arthropoda, Arachnida, Araneae, Eresidae.
UUUGCACCCAAAUGGUUAAAGCCUUCCAGAACUGGUACUUUGAUCUAACUUCUAUUCCUAAUAAAUAAUCCAGCUGCAUACAGUUUACUCAAUUUCUGCCAUGUGUAAGGAGCUGUUCUCAAAACAUUGGGUGACAAAGAAUUCACUUUUACAAAAAUCGAGCAGGAUAUUAAAGACAGCGAACUAUAGAACAAAUAUGGCGAAGCUGAAUGAAAUCUAUGUUGAAUUUUAUUAUUGAAAAAAAUUAUGCUCUUCAGAUUUAAUGUUAGUUUUUAUUGUUUAACAGUAAUUGCAGUUUUCGAAUACCUGUAAAAUAAACCUAAUUCUUAAAUUAA